Molecule: ribosomal RNA, 119 nt
Organism: Helobdella robusta
Lineage: Eukaryota; Metazoa; Annelida; Clitellata; Rhynchobdellida; Glossiphoniidae
Source: Rfam
GUCUACGGCCAUAUCACGUUGAAAUCACCGGUUCUCGUCCGAUCACCAAAGUUAAGCAACGUCGAGCCCGGUUAGUACUUGGAUGGGUGACCACCUGGGAAUACCGGGUGCUGUAGGCU